AAGUCGUAACAAGGUCUCCGUUGGUGAACCAGCGGAGGGAUCAUUACCGAGUUUACAACUCCCAAACCCCUGUGAACCAUACCUGUCGUUGCUUCGGCGGCCACGCCCCGGUGCCCUCGUGCCCGGAACCAGGCGCCCGCCGGAGGCCAAAAAAACCAUGUUUACCACAGUGGCAUUAUCUGAGUGGCACAAGCAAAUAAAUCAAAACUUUCAACAACGGAUCUCUUGGUUCUG
RNAcentral lists this unclassified non-coding RNA (234 nucleotides) under air metagenome. RNAcentral's name for it is "partial contains small subunit ribosomal RNA, internal transcribed spacer 1, and 5.8S ribosomal RNA". The stretch from base 1 to 46 matches the Rfam family "Eukaryotic small subunit ribosomal RNA", at positions 1786 to 1831 of the family's 1831-position model. The record is from RNAcentral.